Molecule: long non-coding RNA, 935 nt
Organism: Homo sapiens (human)
Lineage: Eukaryota; Metazoa; Chordata; Mammalia; Primates; Hominidae
Gene: GDF5-AS1
Product: GDF5 antisense RNA 1
Exons: 2
Source: RefSeq, marked validated
AGGGAUCUAUUUUGGAGACAACAAACUUGACUAAGGAAUCUCAAGAAGAAAAUAUAAUUCUGCUGCCAGGCCCCAAUGGAGCAAAUAGAGCUCGGGACCCAGGGGCCUUUGGAAGGAACAGGAAUGCGGUUAGAGGAGUGCAGGAAGGGGCUCUUGGGAUGUGCCACCCAGGAAGACAGAGGGCCAGUGCUGCUACCUGCAGCCACACGACUCCACGACCAUGUCCUCAUACUGCUUAUACACCACGUUGUUGGCAGAGUCAAUGAAGAGGAUGCUGAUGGGACUCAGCCGCGUGGGCACACAGCAGGUGGGUGGUGUGGACUCGGGGUCCAUGGAGUUCAUCAGGGUCUGGAUGACUGCAUGAUUCGUGGGCUCCAGGUGGGAGCGCAAUGGGAACUCGCACAGCCCCUCGCAGUGGAAAGCCUCGUACUCAAGGGGUGCGAUGAUCCAGUCGUCCCAGCCCAUGUCCUUGAAGUUGACAUGCAGUGCCUUCCGACUGCAGCGAGCCUUAAGGUUCUUGCUGGGUCGCUUGCCCUGGCGAGUGGCCAGUGGGGCCCGCCGUUUUCGCCGCUGGCUGAACAGGUACUCAUACACGGUCUUAUCGUCCUGGCCAGAGCGGGCCUUAAUCUCAUUAAAGAACAGGUCCCGUUUCUUGGUGCGGCCAAACACCAGGAACAGGGCUUUCUCGUGGACCUGCCGGGCGGCGCGGUCGAAGCCCAGGCCACGGAGGUCCACGGCCCUGCCCCGUUCCCAGGCCUCCAGCUCCAGGCACAGCUGGGCCGAGUUCUUAAAGUUUCGGAAGAGCUUCCAGAUGUCGAACACCUCCCAGCCAGAUCCGUCCAGGCCUGGCACGGAGCGCACAUCCAGCAAGGCGGCCGGCUGCCGGCCGCUGGGGCAGCUGGACAGCUUCAGCUGGGCAGCCCGCCCGCCUCCGG